RNAcentral lists this transfer RNA (72 nucleotides) under Candidatus Acetothermia bacterium. RNAcentral's name for it is "tRNA-Cys". It matches the Rfam family "tRNA". From Rfam's summary of the family: Transfer RNA (tRNA) molecules are approximately 80 nucleotides in length. Lineage: Bacteria; Candidatus Bipolaricaulota. The record is from RNAcentral. RNAcentral also lists the same sequence under 1 other name.
GGCGGCGUGGCCAAGCGGUAAGGCAAGGGACUGCAAAUCCCUCAUUCAGCGGUUCGAAUCCGCUCGCCGCCU